GGGAUAUUGGGCAUGGGCGAAGCCUGACCCAGCAACGCCGCGCUGUAGGGAAGAAGGUUUUCGGAUCGUAAACCUCUGUCCUUGGUGAAGAGAAGAAGACGGUAGCCAAGGAGGAAGCCCCGGCUAACUACGUGCCAGCAGCCGCGGUAAUACGUAGGGGGCAAGCGUUGUCCGGAAUGAUUGGGCGUAAAGGGCGCGUAGGCGGCCUGUUAAGUCUGGAGUGAAAGUCCUGCUUUUAAGGUGGGAAUUGCUUUGGAAACUGGCGGGCUGGAGUGCAGGAGAGGUUAGUGGAAUUCCCGGUGUAGCGGUGAAAUGCGUAGAGAUCGGGAGGAACACCAGUGGCGAAGGCGACUAACUGGACUGUAACUGACGCUGAAGCGCGAAAGUGUGGGGAGCAACAGGAUUAGAUACUCUGGUAGUCCACACGGUAACGAUGAAUGCUAUGUGUAGGGUGUAUCGACCCAUAUGGUAGACGGGGGCCCGCACAAGCAGCGGAGCAUGUGGUUUAAUUCGAAGCAACGCGAAGAACCUUACCAGGUCUUGACAUCCAGUAAAAACUGUCGAGAGGCAGUGUCCCUUCGGGGGUACUGAGACAGGUGGUGCAUGGUUGUCGUCAGCUCGUGUCGUGAGAUGUUGGGUUAAGUCCCGCAACGAGCGCAACCCUUAUUUUUAGUUACUAACGGGUAAAGCCGAGGACUCUAAAGAGACUGCCGGGGACAACUCGGAGGAAGGUGGGGACGACGUCAAAUCAUCAUGCCCCUUAUGACCUGGGCUACACACGUGCUACAAUGGCUACUACAAAGAGGAGCAAGCCCGCAAGGGGGAGCGGAUCUGAGAAAAGUAGUCCCAGUUCGGAUCGUGGGCUGCAACCCGCCCACGUGAAGUUGGAGUUGCUAGUAAUCGCGGAUCAGCAUGCCGCGGUGAAUACGUUCCCGGGCCUUGUACACACCGCC
This 953-nucleotide ribosomal RNA is filed under the name uncultured bacterium. Its description in RNAcentral is "bacterial SSU rRNA". It matches the Rfam family "Bacterial small subunit ribosomal RNA", at positions 358 to 1394 of the family's 1533-position model. The record is from RNAcentral.